RNAcentral lists this transfer RNA (67 nucleotides) under Taeniochauliodes attenuatus. Its description in RNAcentral is "tRNA-Thr". It matches the Rfam family "tRNA". Rfam says of the family: Transfer RNA (tRNA) molecules are approximately 80 nucleotides in length. Their secondary structure includes four short double-helical elements and three loops (D, anti-codon, and T loops). Further hydrogen bonds mediate the characteristic L-shaped molecular structure. tRNAs have two regions of fundamental functional importance: the anti-codon, which is responsible for specific mRNA codon recognition, and the 3' end, to which the tRNAs corresponding amino acid is attached (by aminoacyl-tRNA synthetases). tRNAs cope with the degeneracy of the genetic code in two manners: having more than one tRNA (with a specific anti-codon) for a particular amino acid; and 'wobble' base-pairing, i.e. permitting non-standard base-pairing at the 3rd anti-codon position. The record is from RNAcentral. Lineage: Eukaryota; Metazoa; Arthropoda; Insecta; Megaloptera; Corydalidae.
GUUUUAAUAGUUUAAACAAAAUAUUGGUCUUGUAAAUCAAAAAUAAUAGAUUAACUAUUUUAAAACU